Alligator sinensis (Chinese alligator) is the source of this 1155-nucleotide long non-coding RNA. RefSeq lists it as uncharacterized. NCBI's taxonomy places the organism in Eukaryota, Metazoa, Chordata, Crocodylia, Alligatoridae. The record is from RefSeq and is a predicted model, not a curated record. The transcript has 4 exons.
GCAGGCUUCCACAACAGCAGGGCCUGCCCGGUCCUGCCCCCCCAGCCAGAAGCCCCAGCCUGGGCUUCUGGCCUGGAACUAUGCGGCUGCCCUGUGCAGGAACCUCAGAUUACAACAGUUUCCUCCAACUAUGUUGAUAAAAGAUCAAGGAUAUCAGCAAAAUGAUCAGAUGCUGACAUACACCACCAAGGCUGACUGACUGCUUUUAACCCAGCGGGUGUCAACUUUUUUAGACUCAAGCACCCCAGGUUUACUUUUCACUUGUUUUUUCACUACAGAAAAAUAAUAGAGUAAUUCUUCUGGUGCAAGGAACUCAGAAAGACCACCAAAGCUUAGAAUGUUUUCAAUGGUAUGAAUUCCUAUUUGAAGUCUCUGGGUUUGUCUUGUGAAUCAUGUUUGCAUGCCCAACAGUGCUAAUGUUGCGUGGCACUUUGCAGCAAGUUUGAAAGGAUCUCAAGGAAGGCCAGAGUGCUGCAACACCUUGGCCAAGUGUAACUAUCUGAUGUUAGCAGGAGCUGAUUUGAACUAAACACAUGGAAGGACCCAAGUCUUUGGUAUGAACUUCAUGAUGAACUCCAGAUGACAGAAGCCUCGUCUUGCGAUUGUGCAGUAGGAAGGCACUGAGCUCUAAUAAAGAAAGUAUGAAUAACUUUGUAACUUCUCCAUAAUGGAUAAUCAGAGAAGAGCUGACAUGGCUGAGAAACAGGUCCAGCUGAAAACACUACCUUCAAACAGACUGUUAUUGCAGUACAGAAUGAACUGCAUGUGCUAGCAUAUCCAGGGUAGCUAGCCUGGGCAACAAAUAGCAGUGGCCCAGGCCGGUGGCAUGUACCAGCCACUACAGUACAAGGUCUCUAAGAACCCUGGGUAUAAACUCUGGUUUCUAACCAUGCUAAAGCCUGUGCCAUUAUAUUGUCAUUGCUAUUGUUCUUUGUGCUAGCUAGAUGAAUCUAACCCAGGUAUGCUAGCAGAUGCUGGAUUAAUGCAUUCAUUUUGCUGUGCAGACAUAGCCACAGACAUUCCUUUGCUGGUGUUUUACUCUCAUGCCUGAAAUUCCCUUUAUUUGUUUUAUGGCCUCACAUCAUUAUGCUUAGAUUGUCUUUGACAUGCACUUUUGAAAUAAACAUUAUUUAUGAUACCAAAAUAAAGAUCAGC